RNAcentral lists this long non-coding RNA (336 nucleotides) under Elaeis guineensis (African oil palm). Its description in RNAcentral is "long non-coding RNA (EGUI_LNC030683)". The record is from RNAcentral. Lineage: Eukaryota; Viridiplantae; Streptophyta; Magnoliopsida; Arecales; Arecaceae.
UGCAGGAGCAUCUCAAUAACUUUCAAAAGAUCCUUAUCGAUCUCCUCAGUGUUGGCGAGAAAAUUGAGGGGAAGACUAGAGUGUUGGUCUUACUUUCAUCGCUUUUUCCUUCUUUUGAGUCUUUGGUGACUGCUCGUCUAGUGAGAAAGAGCACCAUCAAGAUAGAGGAGGUCACUUCUGUAUUUUUUUAGAAUAAGGUUCUCAGAUGGGAGAAUCAAGCUUCUAGUUUAGGUGGUGACUCGACUAUGACGGUGACUGGAGGAGGUGGUGGCAGAGGAUGAAGAAGUAGAGGAUCGCAAAGUGGGCGGUCUAGGUCCAAGAUGAGGGAUUCGAGCA